This 275-nucleotide ribosomal RNA is filed under the name uncultured Eubacteriales bacterium. Its description in RNAcentral is "uncultured Clostridiales bacterium partial 16S ribosomal RNA". It matches the Rfam family "Bacterial small subunit ribosomal RNA", at positions 72 to 339 of the family's 1533-position model. The record is from RNAcentral. Lineage: Bacteria; Bacillati; Bacillota; Clostridia; Eubacteriales.
AUUCUUCGGAUGAAGAGGUUUGUGACUGAGUGGCGGACGGGUGAGUAACGCGUGGGUAACCUGCCUCAUACAGGGGGAUAACAGUUAGAAAUGACUGCUAAUACCGCAUAAGCCCACGGUACCGCAUGAUACUGAGGGAAAAGGAUUUAUUCGCUUCAGGAUGGACUCGCGUCCAAUUAGCUAGUUGGUGAGGUAACGGCCCACCAAGGCGACGAUGCGUAGCCGACCUGAGAGGGUGAUCGGCCACAUUGGGACUGAGACACGGCCCAAACUCC